GCUUACGGCCAUACCACCUUAGGCACGCCCGAUCUCGUCUGAUCUCGGAAGUUAAGCAGGGUCGGGGCUGGUUAGUACUUAGAUGGGUGACCGCCUGGGAAUACCAGGUGCUGUAAGCA
This 119-nucleotide ribosomal RNA is filed under the name Gadus morhua (Atlantic cod). Lineage: Eukaryota; Metazoa; Chordata; Actinopteri; Gadiformes; Gadidae. The record is from RNAcentral.